GGGUUGUGAGGUUAAGCGACUAAGCGUACACGGUGGAUGCCCUGGCAGUCAGAGGCGAUGAAGGACGUGCUAAUCUGCGAUAAGCGUCGGUAAGGUGAUAUGAACCGUUAUAACCGGCGAUUUCCGAAUGGGGAAACCCAGUGUGUUUCGACACACUAUCAUUAACUGAAUCCAUAGGUUAAUGAGGCGAACCGGGGGAACUGAAACAUCUAAGUACCCCGAGGAAAAGAAAUCAACCGAGAUUCCCCCAGUAGCGGCGAGCGAACGGGGAGCAGCCCAGAGCCUGAAUCAGUGUGUGUGUUAGUGGAAGCGUCUGGAAAGGCGCGCGAUACAGGGUGACAGCCCCGUACACAAAAAUGCACAUGCUGUGAGCUCGAUGAGUAGGGCGGGACACGUGGUAUCCUGUCUGAAUAUGGGGGGACCAUCCUCCAAGGCUAAAUACUCCUGACUGACCGAUAGUGAACCAGUACCGUGAGGGAAAGGCGAAAAGAACCCCGGCGAGGGGAGUGAAAAAGAACCUGAAACCGUGUACGUACAAGCAGUGGGAGCACGCUUAGGCGUGUGACUGCGUACCUUUUGUAUAAUGGGUCAGCGACUUAUAUUCUGUAGCAAGGUUAACCGAAUAGGGGAGCCGAAGGGAAACCGAGUCUUAACUGGGCGUUAAGUUGCAGGGUAUAGACCCGAAACCCGGUGAUCUAGCCAUGGGCAGGUUGAAGGUUGGGUAACACUAACUGGAGGACCGAACCGACUAAUGUUGAAAAAUUAGCGGAUGACUUGUGGCUGGGGGUGAAAGGCCAAUCAAACCGGGAGAUAGCUGGUUCUCCCCGAAAGCUAUUUAGGUAGCGCCUCGUGAAUUCAUCUCCGGGGGUAGAGCACUGUUUCGGCAAGGGGGUCAUCCCGACUUACCAACCCGAUGCAAACUGCGAAUACCGGAGAAUGUUAUCACGGGAGACACACGGCGGGUGCUAACGUCCGUCGUGAAGAGGGAAACAACCCAGACCGCCAGCUAAGGUCCCAAAGUCAUGGUUAAGUGGGAAACGAUGUGGGAAGGCCCAGACAGCCAGGAUGUUGGCUUAGAAGCAGCCAUCAUUUAAAGAAAGCGUAAUAGCUCACUGGUCGAGUCGGCCUGCGCGGAAGAUGUAACGGGGCUAAACCAUGCACCGAAGCUGCGGCAGCGACGCUUAUGCGUUGUUGGGUAGGGGAGCGUUCUGUAAGCCUGCGAAGGUGUGCUGUGAGGCAUGCUGGAGGUAUCAGAAGUGCGAAUGCUGACAUAAGUAACGAUAAAGCGGGUGAAAAGCCCGCUCGCCGGAAGACCAAGGGUUCCUGUCCAACGUUAAUCGGGGCAGGGUGAGUCGACCCCUAAGGCGAGGCCGAAAGGCGUAGUCGAUGGGAAACAGGUUAAUAUUCCUGUACUUGGUGUUACUGCGAAGGGGGGACGGAGAAGGCUAUGUUGGCCGGGCGACGGUUGUCCCGGUUUAAGCGUGUAGGCUGGUUUUCCAGGCAAAUCCGGAAAAUCAAGGCUGAGGCGUGAUGACGAGGCACUACGGUGCUGAAGCAACAAAUGCCCUGCUUCCAGGAAAAGCCUCUAAGCAUCAGGUAACAUCAAAUCGUACCCCAAACCGACACAGGUGGUCAGGUAGAGAAUACCAAGGCGCUUGAGAGAACUCGGGUGAAGGAACUAGGCAAAAUGGUGCCGUAACUUCGGGAGAAGGCACGCUGAUAUGUAGGUGAAGNNNNNNNNNNNNNNNNNNNNNNNNNNNNNNNNNNNNNNNNNNNNNNNNNNNNNNNNNNNNNNNNNNNNNNNNNNNNNNNNNNNNNNNNNNNNNNNNGAUGGAGCUGAAAUCAGUCGAAGAUACCAGCUGGCUGCAACUGUUUAUUAAAAACACAGCACUGUGCAAACACGAAAGUGGACGUAUACGGUGUGACGCCUGCCCGGUGCCGGAAGGUUAAUUGAUGGGGUUAGCGCAAGCGAAGCUCUUGAUCGAAGCCCCGGUAAACGGCGGCCGUAACUAUAACGGUCCUAAGGUAGCGAAAUUCCUUGUCGGGUAAGUUCCGACCUGCACGAAUGGCGUAAUGAUGGCCAGGCUGUCUCCACCCGAGACUCAGUGAAAUUGAACUCGCUGUGAAGAUGCAGUGUACCCGCGGCAAGACGGAAAGACCCCGUGAACCUUUACUAUAGCUUGACACUGAACAUUGAGCCUUGAUGUGUAGGAUAGGUGGGAGGCUUUGAAGUGUGGACGCCAGUCUGCAUGGAGCCGACCUUGAAAUACCACCCUUUAAUGUUUGAUGUUCUAACGUUGACCCGUAAUCCGGGUUGCGGACAGUGUCUGGUGGGUAGUUUGACUGGGGCGGUCUCCUCCUAAAGAGUAACGGAGGAGCACGAAGGUUGGCUAAUCCUGGUCGGACAUCAGGAGGUUAGUGCAAUGGCAUAAGCCAGCUUGACUGCGAGCGUGACGGCGCGAGCAGGUGCGAAAGCAGGUCAUAGUGAUCCGGUGGUUCUGAAUGGAAGGGCCAUCGCUCAACGGAUAAAAGGUACUCCGGGGAUAACAGGCUGAUACCGCCCAAGAGUUCAUAUCGACGGCGGUGUUUGGCACCUCGAUGUCGGCUCAUCACAUCCUGGGGCUGAAGUAGGUCCCAAGGGUAUGGCUGUUCGCCAUUUAAAGUGGUACGCGAGCUGGGUUUAGAACGUCGUGAGACAGUUCGGUCCCUAUCUGCCGUGGGCGCUGGAGAACUGAGGGGGGCUGCUCCUAGUACGAGAGGACCGGAGUGGACGCAUCACUGGUGUUCGGGUUGUCAUGCCAAUGGCACUGCCCGGUAGCUAAAUGCGGAAGAGAUAAGUGCUGAAAGCAUCUAAGCACGAAACUUGCCCCGAGAUGAGUUCUCCCUGACCCUUUAAGGGUCCUGAAGGAACGUUGAAGACGACGACGUUGAUAGGCCGGGUGUGUAAGCGCAGCGAUGCGUUGAGCUAACCGGUACUAAUGAACCGUGAGGCUUAACCUUACAACGCCGAAGCUGUU
This 3017-nucleotide ribosomal RNA is filed under the name Escherichia coli. RNAcentral describes it as "23S ribosomal RNA". It matches the Rfam family "Bacterial large subunit ribosomal RNA". The record is from RNAcentral. Lineage: Bacteria; Pseudomonadati; Pseudomonadota; Gammaproteobacteria; Enterobacterales; Enterobacteriaceae.